RNAcentral lists this long non-coding RNA (835 nucleotides) under Papio anubis (olive baboon). RNAcentral's name for it is "lncRNA (ENSPANG00000042792.1)". The record is from RNAcentral. Lineage: Eukaryota; Metazoa; Chordata; Mammalia; Primates; Cercopithecidae.
CUUACAUAUUUCCUCCUUCCCUUUUACAAGAUAACCCUAAGGGUUCUAAGGGUUGCAAAAGGAUGAAGGGUUGCAGAAGGAUGAAGGUCCGUCUCCUGCAAUUUUUUCAUGCUGAAUAGGGUCUAUGAUAUUCCUGCCUAACUAUUGGGGUCUCUUGUAUUUAGGGUAGAGAGGAGCUCAAUCAGAAAGCAUUAGUCCGUUAAGCAUCGGUUGUACCUCUGAGUUCCAGCAAAAGGUAAAACUCUGGCGCUCCAGCAGUUUCUCAGCUUCCUGUGUGGUUUCCUUGAUCUGUCCCCAUGGUACCUGUUAGUUCCUGCAAGUUCCUGCAAGUCUCUGUCUGUCCCUACCUAUCUCUCUUUCCUUAUCUCUAUUUCCUUAUCUCUACUUAUUUCUUAUUGUCCCUGCAGGCCUCUUCAGGUCCCUUCAGGUCUCUGUCCCUGAUAGUUCCUUUAAGUUUCUGCUAGUCUUUGCUAGUCUCUACUUUUGUAUCUCUUUAGGACACUGACCUUAUAUUGCUCUUAUAUUGCUAGUCUUUGCUAGUCUUUAUCCCUAUCUGUCCCUAUUUGUCCCUGUUCGGGCACCACUUGUGACUGACUGCCAUGGUUACUACUUGAGGCCAUCACUACAACAGUUACUACUGUUACUGCUUGAGACCAUCAUUAUGACUGAACAAAGGGAUAAACACAGAAAUGAUGACAAAAGAAACUAUUUAAAGGAAAGGCUAGCAUGGAGAAGAGGAAGAGAGCUCCCUGCUUCUAGUGAGCAAAGGCAGCCCCCCCUUGAGCUUCUACAGCCCUUCUUAUUAGGUAACAAGAGCAAGGAGGAGGAGAUUUGA